UAGGGAAUCUUCGGCAAUGGGGGCAACCCUGACCGAGCAACGCCGCGUGAGUGAUGAAGGUUUUCGGAUCGUAAAGCUCUGUCUUUGGGAAAGAUAAUGACGGUACCCAAGGAGGAAGCCACGGCUAACUACGUGCCAG
Molecule: ribosomal RNA, 139 nt
Filed under: uncultured bacterium
Lineage: Bacteria
Description: partial 16S rRNA
Rfam family: Bacterial small subunit ribosomal RNA
Source: RNAcentral